UGGUUUUCCAGGCAAAUCCGGAAAAUCAAGGCUGAGGCGUGAUGACGAGGCACUACGGUGCUGAAGCAACAAAUGCCCUGCUUCCAGGAAAAGCCUCUAAGCAUCAGGUAACAUCAAAUCGUACCCCAAACCGACACAGGUGGUCAGGUAGAGAAUACCAAGGCGCUUGAGAGAACUCGGGUGAAGGAACUAGGCAAAAUGGUGCCGUAACUUCGGGAGAAGGCACACUGAUAUGUAGGUGAGGUCCCUCGCGGAUGGAGCUGAAAUCAGUCGAAGAUACCAGCUGGCUGCAACUGUUUAUUAAAAACACAGCACUGUGCAAACACGAAAGUGGACGUAUACGGUGUGACGCCUGCCCGGUGCCGGAAGGUUAAUUGAUGGGGUUAGCGCAAGCGAAGCUCUUGAUCGAAGCCCCGGUAAACGGCGGCCGUAACUAUAACGGUCCUAAGGUAGCGAAAUUCCUUGUCGGGUAAGUUCCGACCUGCACGAAUGUCGUAAUGAUGGCCAGGCUGUCUCCACCCGAGACUCAGUGAAAUUGAACUCGCUGUGAAGAUGCAGUGUACCCGCGGCAAGACGGAAAGACCCCGUGAACCUUUACUAUAGCUUGACACUGAACAUUGAGCCUUGAUGUGUAGGAUAGGUGGGAGGCUUUGAAGUGUGGACGCCAGUCUGCAUGGAGCCGACCUUGAAAUACCACCCUUUAAUGUUUGAUGUUCUAACGUUGACCCGUAAUCCGGGUUGCGGACAGUGUCUGGUGGGUAGUUUGACUGGGGCGGUCUCCUCCUAAAGAGUAACGGAGGAGCACGAAGGUUGGCUAAUCCUGGUCGGACAUCAGGAGGUUAGUGCAAUGGCAUAAGCCAGCUUGACUGCGAGCGUGACGGCGCGAGCAGGUGCGAAAGCAGGUCAUAGUGAUCCGGUGGUUCUGAAUGGAAGGGCCAUCGCUCAACGGAUAAAAGGUACUCCGGGGAUAACAGGCUGAUACCGCCCAAGAGUUCAUAUCGACGGCGGUGUUUGGCACCUCGAUGUCGGCUCAUCACAUCCUGGGGCUGAAGUAGGUCCCAAGGGUAUGGCUGUUCGCCAUUUAAAGUGGUACGCGAGCUGGGUUUAGAACGUCGUGAGACAGUUCGGUCCCUAUCUGCCGUGGGCGCUGGAGAACUGAGGGGGGCUGCUCCUAGUACGAGAGGACCGGAGUGGACGCAUCACUGGUGUUCGGGUUGUCAUGCCAAUGGCACUGCCCGGUAGCUAAAUGCGGAAGAGAUAAGUGCUGAAAGCAUCUAAGCACGAAACUUGCCCCGAGAUGAGUUCUCCCUGACCCUUUAAGGGUCCUGAAGGAACGUUGAAGACGACGACGUUGAUAGGCCGGGUGUGUAAGCGCAGCGAUGCGUUGAGCUAACCGGUACUAAUGAACC
This 1409-nucleotide ribosomal RNA is filed under the name metagenome. RNAcentral's name for it is "bacterial LSU rRNA". It matches the Rfam family "Bacterial large subunit ribosomal RNA", at positions 1525 to 2910 of the family's 2925-position model. The record is from RNAcentral.